RNAcentral lists this long non-coding RNA (1467 nucleotides) under Mus musculus (house mouse). Its description in RNAcentral is "long non-coding RNA chr4:48185035-48186502". Lineage: Eukaryota; Metazoa; Chordata; Mammalia; Rodentia; Muridae. The record is from RNAcentral.
UCAAUUCUGUGUCUUCUGUUGGCUUACUCCUACCUCACACACAGGAGCCUAGAAUGAAGCAUACUGAAGCUGCCUAGAACUCGCCAGACCUCUGGAGCACGGACUGGGGUUUACCCGAAACUCCUACCUAGCCACAGCUGUCCUGCCUGUCCACCUUCCGUGUUCAUGUCUUCUGCAGAGUGAGGACUGGAAGCUGGUAACACCUACUGAUAACAAGAAGUUUGGAAACACAACUACAAAUCUCUAGCACACAGUAUUUCCUUCCAGUAAAAGUCCAGAAGCCAAACCUUUUGAGUUGUUAGAAAACAAAGGCAUUUCUCAAGAAUGCCUCAGAAGCCCUUCACUGAUCACAUGGCCUCUGGAGAGAGGAGUGAAAGCCUGGAGCAAGACCCUCCUGGGCAAGCCACACCUUACCAUCCUAGAGAAGAAUGCUACUGUUGCUCCCAGGUGUUUACACAUGUCUGGUGACAUCCCCAAAGUUGCCUGAGGCCUAGCAAGUGCUUCCCCUCUGGCUUCAGAUUCUUUUUGUAUGUGGAGUUGUGUUGUUUCUGUUUUCUGAAAUCAGGUUUUACUGGAAGCCCAGGCUCGUUUUGAACUUGCAAUCCUCCUGCUGGGAUUACGCACAUCCAACUCUGUUUUGUAACUGCUAUUAACACGUAUUCCUAAUGAGUGGUUCUGUUUGUAUUCACCAGUUGGCACCAUUUCACAUAAGAACUUGAGUGUUAAUAAUAAUAAAAGAACUAUGUAUCUACAUUGCUACCUUCAAAGAUACUAACUUGUGACAAAAAAUAUUUGUGCAAUAUUAACCCAACAAAUAUAUUGGAAUAAAAACAAAAAAGUGUCAAAGGCAAAUAAUUUGCCCAAGAUCACAAAGCUACUUUGUAUCUAAGAUCUAAGAGAAUGAUUUGGGGUGUGUGUGGGGGGGGGAUCCUCCAUGCGUGUCUAUUAAGGUUUGGUUAGGCCAUGUCAAGUUGCCUGAUGAAGCUUGCACUCUCUCAGCUCAACUUCAAUGGUCUAAAUCAGGCAAAAUGGAAAGAAAUGUAAGAAUAUAAAUUCAUCUAAAAAGAAGCAAUUAGAUGCAGUUUCUUAGCUUUCCAAGCAGUGCCAGUGCCUUGGCAGCCAAAGCACGAGGAUCCCUGCAACAGCAAGGGAAGGCCUAUGGGCUCCUGUGAGCACUCUUGUUUGAGCAGGACACACAAUAGUUUGCUUUUUGCAUACACAUCUCAAACAUUUGAGAUAUUCCUCUUAGUGUUAAUUACUGAAUUGUGUUACUGAGUUUCAUCAGCUAAACCCCUAAAAGGAGUUUUCCACAUUAUUGAACCCUAGCUGUGGCAAGGUAAGGACAAGGAAAGGUUAAACGGUGGGGACUUGUGCAAAACUCAAUCCUUUCUGCAUUUGUUUGCUGUUAUGUUGCUGAGUGAUGCUUGAAUAAGGAAAUAUGCAAUAAAAUUCACCCAUUUGACAAAC